GUUACCAAUAUGCUCUUACUAUUUUUUUCUAUUUUGGCCUGUAACACUUCAAACACUUAAUGGCUCAUCUACAGUCGUAGUCAGCACCUAACAAGGCUAGCCAAUGACUUUCCUGCCUUUUUGCUUAACCGGUCGAGGUUACCAAUAUGCUCAUACAAUUUUUUUCUAUUUUGGCCUGUAACACUUCAAACACUUAAUGGCUCAUCUACAGUCUUAGUCAGCACCUAACAAGGCUAGCCAAUGACUUUCCUGCCUUUUUUGCUUAACCGGUCGAGGUUACAUUGGCUCAUACAAUCUUUUUCUCUUUUGGCCUGUAACACUUAAAUCAGUUAAAAAAAAAAGUAUUAAUGCAUGUAUAUUGAUAAACAAAAUCAGUUUAAAAAAAAAAAAAAAGUAUUUAUGCAUGUAUAUUGAUAAACAAAAUCAGUUAAAAAAAAAAAAAAAAGUAUUUAUGCAUGUAUAUUGAUGAACAAAAUCAGUUAAAAAAAAAAAAAGUAUUUAUGCAUGUAUAUUGAUAAACAAAAUCAG
This is a long non-coding RNA of Clupea harengus (Atlantic herring), 528 nucleotides long. The record is from Ensembl. Lineage: Eukaryota; Metazoa; Chordata; Actinopteri; Clupeiformes; Clupeidae.